UACGGGGGGAGCAAGCGUUGUUCGGAUUUACUGGGCGUAAAGGGCGCGUAGGCGGCCACUGCAAGUCGGUUGUGAAAUCUCCGGGCUUAACCCGGAAAGGUCAAUCGAUACUGCAGGGCUAGAGUGCAGAAGGGGCAACUGGAAUUCUCGGUGUAGCGGUGAAAUGCGUAGAUAUCGAGAGGAACACCUGCGGCGAAGGCGGGUUGCUGGGCUGACACUGACGCUGAGGAGCGAAAGCCAGGGGAGCAAACGGG
This 254-nucleotide ribosomal RNA is filed under the name uncultured bacterium. Its description in RNAcentral is "partial 16S ribosomal RNA". It matches the Rfam family "Bacterial small subunit ribosomal RNA", at positions 524 to 776 of the family's 1533-position model. The record is from RNAcentral.